Molecule: ribosomal RNA, 431 nt
Filed under: uncultured bacterium
Lineage: Bacteria
Description: bacterial SSU rRNA
Rfam family: Bacterial small subunit ribosomal RNA
Source: RNAcentral
ACGAACGCUGGCGGCAUGCCUAACACAUGCAAGUCGAACGAGACCUUCGGGUCUAGUGGCGCACGGGUGCGUAACGCGUGGGAACCUGCCCUUGGGUUCGGAAUAACGUCGGGAAACUGACGCUAAUACCGGAUAAUGUCUUCGGACCAAAGAUUUAUCGCCAAAGGAUGGGCCCGCGUAGGAUUAGCUAGUUGGUGAGGUAACGGCUCACCAAGGCGACGAUCCUUAGCUGGUCUUAGAGGAUGAUCAGCCACACUGGGACUGAGACACGGCCCAGACUCCUACGGGAGGCAGCAGUGGGGAAUAUUGGACAAUGGGCGAAAGCCUGAUCCAGCAAUGCCGCGUGAGUGAUGAAGGCCUUAGGGUUGUAAAGCUCUUUUACUGGGGAUGAUAAUGACAGUACCCAGAGAAUAAGCCCCGGCUAACUCCGU